GACUCGGUGGCGGAUGGCCCGCGUCCGCUUAACAUGAUCCCGAUCCGUGACCCUGAAUGUGGAAGCCGCCUGUUCGAAUCAGGCCCGAGUUC
This is a non-coding RNA of Mycena galopus ATCC 62051, 92 nucleotides long. The record is from the annotation of a GenBank genome assembly. Lineage: Eukaryota; Fungi; Basidiomycota; Agaricomycetes; Agaricales; Mycenaceae.